CGGGACACGUGGUAUCCUGUCUGAAUAUGGGGGGACCAUCCUCCAAGGCUAAAUACUCCUGACUGACCGAUAGUGAACCAGUACCGUGAGGGAAAGGCGAAAAGAACCCCGGCGAGGGGAGUGAAAAAGAACCUGAAACCGUGUACGUACAAGCAGUGGGAGCACGCUUAGGCGUGUGACUGCGUACCUUUUGUAUAAUGGGUCAGCGACUUAUAUUCUGUAGCAAGGUUAACCGAAUAGGGGAGCCGAAGGGAAACCGAGUCUUAACUGGGCGUUAAGUUGCAGGGUAUAGACCCGAAACCCGGUGAUCUAGCCAUGGGCAGGUUGAAGGUUGGGUAACACUAACUGGAGGACCGAACCGACUAAUGUUGAAAAAUUAGCGGAUGACUUGUGGCUGGGGGUGAAAGGCCAAUCAAACCGGGAGAUAGCUGGUUCUCCCCGAAAGCUAUUUAGGUAGCGCCUCGUGAAUUCAUCUCCGGGGGUAGAGCACUGUUUCGGCAAGGGGGUCAUCCCGACUUACCAACCCGAUGCAAACUGCGAAUACCGGAGAAUGUUAUCACGGGAGACACACGGCGGGUGCUAACGUCCGUCGUGAAGAGGGAAACAACCCAGACCGCCAGCUAAGGUCCCAAAGUCAUGGUUAAGUGGGAAACGAUGUGGGAAGGCCCAGACAGCCAGGAUGUUGGCUUAGAAGCAGCCAUCAUUUAAAGAAAGCGUAAUAGCUCACUGGUCGAGUCGGCCUGCGCGGAAGAUGUAACGGGGCUAAACCAUGCACCGAAGCUGCGGCAGCGACGCUGAUGCGUUGUUGGGUAGGGGAGCGUUCUGUAAGCCUGUGAAGGUGUGCUGUGAGGCAUGCUGGAGGUAUCAGAAGUGCGAAUGCUGACAUAAGUAACGAUAAAGCGGGUGAAAAGCCCGCUCGCCGGAAGACCAAGGGUUCCUGUCCAACGUUAAUCGGGGCAGGGUGAGUCGACCCCUAAGGCGAGGCCGAAAGGCGUAGUCGAUGGGAAACAGGUUAAUAUUCCUGUACUUGGUGUUACUGCGAAGGGGGGACGGAGAAGGCUAUGUUGGCCGGGCGACGGUUGUCCCGGUUUAAGCGUGUAGGCUGGUUUUCCAGGCAAAUCCGGAAAAUCAAGGCUGAGGCGUGAUGACGAGGCACUACGGUGCUGAAGCAACAAAUGCCCUGCUUCCAGGAAAAGCCUCUAAGCAUCAGGUAACAUCAAAUCGUACCCCAAACCGACACAGGUGGUCAGGUAGAGAAUACCAAGGCGCUUGAGAGAACUCGGGUGAAGGAACUAGGCAAAAUGGUGCCGUAACUUCGGGAGAAGGCACGCUGAUAUGUAGGUGAAGCGACUUGCUCGUGGAGCUGAAAUCAGUCGAAGAUACCAGCUGGCUGCAACUGUUUAUUAAAAACACAGCACUGUGCAAACACGAAAGUGGACGUAUACGGUGUGACGCCUGCCCGGUGCCGGAAGGUUAAUUGAUGGGGUCAGCGCAAGCGAAGCUCUUGAUCGAAGCCCCGGUAAACGGCGGCCGUAACUAUAACGGUCCUAAGGUAGCGAAAUUCCUUGUCGGGUAAGUUCCGACCUGCACGAAUGGCGUAAUGAUGGCCAGGCUGUCUCCACCCGAGACUCAGUGAAAUUGAACUCGCUGUGAAGAUGCAGUGUACCCGCGGCAAGACGGAAAGACCCCGUGAACCUUUACUAUAGCUUGACACUGAACAUUGAGCCUUGAUGUGUAGGAUAGGUGGGAGGCUUUGAAGUGUGGACGCCAGUCUGCAUGGAGCCGGCCUUGAAAUACCACCCUU
Molecule: ribosomal RNA, 1804 nt
Filed under: Escherichia coli
Lineage: Bacteria; Pseudomonadati; Pseudomonadota; Gammaproteobacteria; Enterobacterales; Enterobacteriaceae
Description: partial 23S ribosomal RNA
Rfam family: Bacterial large subunit ribosomal RNA
Source: RNAcentral